Molecule: ribosomal RNA, 454 nt
Filed under: uncultured bacterium
Lineage: Bacteria
Description: partial 16S ribosomal RNA
Rfam family: Bacterial small subunit ribosomal RNA
Source: RNAcentral
GAUGAACGCUGACAGAAUGCUUAACACAUGCAAGUCAACUUGAACUUCGGUUUGGGUGGCGGACGGGUGAGUAACGCGUAAAGAACUUGCCUCACAGCUAGGGACAACAUUUGGAAACGAAUGCUAAUACCUGAUAUUAUGAUUUUAGGGCAUCCUAGAAUUAUGAAAGCUAUAUGCGCUGUGAGAGAGCUUUGCGUCCCAUUAGCUAGUUGGAGAGGUAACGGCUCACCAAGGCGAUGAUGGGUAGCCGGCCUGAGAGGGUGAACGGCCACAAGGGGACUGAGACACGGCCCUUACUCCUACGGGAGGCAGCAGUGGGGAAUAUUGGACAAUGGACCAAGAGUCUGAUCCAGCAAUUCUGUGUGCACGAUGAAGUUUUUCGGAAUGUAAAGUGCUUUCAGUUGGAAAGAAAAAAAUGACGGUACCAACAGAAGAAGUGACGGCUAAAUACGUG